RNAcentral lists this ribosomal RNA (429 nucleotides) under Bacillota bacterium. RNAcentral describes it as "Firmicutes bacterium partial 16S ribosomal RNA". It matches the Rfam family "Bacterial small subunit ribosomal RNA", at positions 355 to 776 of the family's 1533-position model. The record is from RNAcentral. Lineage: Bacteria; Bacillati; Bacillota.
UGGGGAAUUUUGGACAAUGGGGGCAACCCUGAUCCAGCAAUGCCGCGUGUGUGAAGAAGGCCUUCGGGUUGUAAAGCACUUUUGUCCGGAAAGAAAACUUCGGGGCUAAUACCCCUGGAGGAUGACGGUACCGGAAGAAUAAGCACCGGCUAACUACGUGCCAGCAGCCACGGUAAUACGUAGGGUGCGAGCGUUAAUCGGAAUUACUGGGCGUAAAGCGUGCGCAGGCGGUGCUGUAAGACCGAUGUGAAAUCCCCGGGCUUAACCUGGGAACUGCAUUGGUGACUGCAGCGCUGGAGUAUGGCAGAGGGGGGUGGAAUUCCACGUAUAGCAGUGAAAUGCGUAGAGAUGUGGAGGAACACCGAUGGCGAAGGCAGCCCCCUGGGCCAAUACUGACGCUCAUGCACGAAAGCGUGGGGAGCAAACAGG